AGACGAACAGUGGAUUGAUCCACCAAACAGAAACAACACAGACAGAAAUGAGGCAGAAGAAUUCCAAGAUAAGGAAGCUAGAAUUCAAAUAAUUGUUUCAGCGGUAAUAGCUGCCUUUGUCAUCAUCUGCCUGCUAAUUUACAUUUUAUUCAGAUACCGACCAAAAAAACAAGGUCCUAAUGCCAAUCCUCCUCCAGCAAAUGUCAGUUGCCAGAAAGCAGAGGAUCCAAUUUCUACAGUGUUCUGUCCUGACUAUGCUGCACUAGAUGUCCCCGGACAAAAUAUUCGACAGACUCUAGCAUCUUCAAUUGCCUCUGAUGAUUCAUACUACGCUACCAUUGUAUUUGCACCUCAACAACAAGCUACUGGUGUGCAGAAAACAACUGUCGUUAACUAAGGGGAAACAUAUUUGAUAUAGUGGCAUCUGACUACUUUCCUUUAUCCUGUGAACUUACAGAUAUUACAUUAAAAUAUCACUUGACUUUUCUUGCUACUUAUUCUAUGAAAACAGAAGGCACAAUUUGACCACCAUGAAUGAAAUGAUCAUAUUCUAACACUGAGGAAGUAAAAUCCUAGCAAAAUCAAUCUUACCUGGAUGACAUUUCAUUGACUAAUUUUGGAAGGAUAAGAAAGAGUUUAGAAAGGCAUCAUUAGAUUCUGUAGGGACAGUUUCGAGCUGAUAGCAUUUAGAGGAGUCCAUUCACAAACAAUUGGAAAGAAAUAGGCAACUCCUCAUGCUGGUUAGUUGAUUGCCAUUGUCUCAUUCCCACUUUGGUUCUGACUGGACUCUUCAAAUUUACUCAUGUUAGGUAAUGAUCUUACUGAACUGGUGCUGGACUUUAAUUCUGUGAAUUAAAAACAUUAUCCACUGGCACUACAUAUGUUUGUAGUAUCAAUAAACGCACAUGACAUUCUCCUUUAGCAAUAUCAAAGUUGCAAAGUACUCUUCAUGUGACCUGAAGUUGGGAGUUCACAUUAGAUAGUAAUGGAUGCCAUUUGUUUUAAAAGUCCAUAGUAUAAUCAAAUUAUUCAGAUAACAAUGCUCUGAUUUAUAUAAUUUCCAAGAUGUAAGAUUGUGUUACUGAUAUUUUGUCUGCUUUUUAAAGAUAUCAAAAUAUAGAUACAAGUUUUCAUUCAGAAUGUCACAGCUCAACAUUUGCAGUCAUAAAUGGCUAUUAUGGAGUGUGAGUGACUUUGUAAUUCAAUCAGGUUAAAGGGUUUAAUAGAGUCAGUUGCCAGACUGUAAAUCACAAAGCCUGUCUUACAGACAGCACUGUGUAGAACCCUCGAGGUUGCAUUUUCAGUUGCCUGGGGAUGUGUGCUUGGGUUCCAAUUAAAUGUAAUUUAGUAUUGCUGACACCACAAUUCCAUUUUCAGAGAAGUUGGAGGCAUGAACAGCUCCUGACACUAUUACCUCCAUACAAGAUCAAAAUAAUGUAAUUAAGUAGAGAAAGCAGAAAAUGUAGUAAAUUCUCAGUAGGUCAGACAACAGCUGUGUGGAAGACUGAGUUAACAUUUCAGGUUGAUAAUGAAGGUUCAUCAUUGACUUAAAAUAGUAAAUCUGUUUCUCUGUCUAUAGCUGCUCUCUGUCCUGCUGAUUAUUUCCAGAAUUUUCUGUUUUUAUUUCAGAUUUUCAACACCUUUGGCAUUUUGCUUUAUGUUCUAAAGUAAUUACGGGGCCUAUUAACAUUUCCAGUUGGCAUGCAACAACCCACAUUGUCCCGGAACAUGCUCAGAUCGAUGUGCCAGCCUUAGGCCAGGGGAAGGAAGGGUUGUACUUAAACCUGAAAGGGAUCCACAUGUACAUCUGUAUUAGUCACAGGGGCACAACUACAAUCCUCCAGCCUCAGGAGCCCACCUAUCAUUCCUAUUGGGAUGGUGAGCACACUCCCUGGUUGUGAAAUACCUUUAAAAAUAAAGAAAGGCGUGCCUGGAACAAACAGUUUUUGGGGUCAGGGCAUGAAACUGGCCCCACAUCUGGUUCCUGUCCAAGACACAAAAAUUCAUCCCACAUGUUAUGCAAUUGAUCAUUAACCAACUAGUGAUAUGCAGUUUUUCUGAAAUGAUCCUCAGUCUUGGCAUGGCUGGUACAGCCAAUUUUUACAUUUUACCUUCAGUAGCAACAAGGAGCUGAAUUUGUUGGGAAUAAAUUAAAUUUGGAAGCUUAAAAUAACAGAGAUACAGACUGAUUUGGAUACAUUAAGAAAACAAUGAACAAAAUACUGAUAAUUGGGAAAAGACCACAUAGAUUAGGAAACAAAGGUCAGGAAAAUCCUUGGAACUGCUUCCAUUUCUUUGCCAGCAAUGUUUGGAAAUUGAUCCGAUAACCAUUUCGGUAAUGGUCAAAAUAUUUCCAUUCAAAUCGUCAAUAUGCAACCCUGGUGUUGAAUACAAAUGAGAUGAAAACAGCAGAAUGCACUUGCUAUAUGAAGAGAUGACAAUUCUUAACUUCAAUGAUUUUUUUAAAUGUGUAGAUUAAUUCAGCAGCGUAUGAAUCACACUCCAUGAAACAUGAGACACAUGUGAGUCAAAUUAUCUGAUAUUUCCUGCAGUAGAAUUAUCUGCCUAUGGAUAUCAAUGAUGGGUUCAUCACCUUCGUCUACGAAGAAAUCCCUUAUGUUCAGUUAGCUAUGAUUUCACAUAUUCACUUUAUUAAAAUUAUGAUACAAAUAAAACUGCUUUGCAAAGGCUUGAAAAUGUAUGUUUCCAGGUUCUGAGAUCUUUAAUUUUGGAGUCCAGAUGUAUCGAAAAUGUCAACUUAAAGUCUAGUGACCUAUCACUUUUAAUCUAAGUCUCACUUGUAUGACUCCAUAAUGCUUCCAACUCAUUAGAUCUGAAUGACCUCUGACAACCAGCCAGUCCUGAGUUUCAUCGGACCUUGAAAGAUUGUACAAAAUAUUGUGAGAAAUAUAUGUAAAUAAAUGUGACCUAUUUAUUAAACAUUCUUUCGGAGAAGUACUGAUGUAAUAAUUUAACUUUUUCUCAUUAUUAAAAGCAUUUGAAACA
Long non-coding RNA from Rhincodon typus (whale shark), 3006 nucleotides. RefSeq lists it as uncharacterized. The record is from RefSeq and is a predicted model, not a curated record. Lineage: Eukaryota; Metazoa; Chordata; Chondrichthyes; Orectolobiformes; Rhincodontidae. The transcript has 3 exons.